AGAACGAACGCUGGCGGCAUGCCUAAUACAUGCAAGUCGAACGAACUCUUCGGAGUUAGUGGCGCACGGGUGCGUAACGCGUGGGAAUCUGCCCCUUGGUUCGGAAUAACAGUUGGAAACGACUGCUAAUACCGGAUGAUGGCGAAAGUCCAAAGAUUUAUCGCCAAGGGAUGAGCCCGCGUAGGAUUAGCUAGUUGGUGAGGUAAAGGCUCACCAAGGCAACGAUCCUUAGCUGGUCUGAGAGGAUGAUCAGCCACCCUGGGACUGAGACACGGCCCAGACUCCUACGGGAGGCAGCAGUAGGGAAUAUUGGACAAUGGGCGAAAGCCUGAUCCAGCAAUGCCGCGUGAGUGAUGAAGGCCUUAGGGUUGUAAAGCACGUUUAAGUUGGGAGG
RNAcentral lists this ribosomal RNA (394 nucleotides) under uncultured soil bacterium. RNAcentral's name for it is "bacterial SSU rRNA". It matches the Rfam family "Bacterial small subunit ribosomal RNA", at positions 26 to 447 of the family's 1533-position model. The record is from RNAcentral.